GAGGAAAGAGGGAGGCGUGCUUAACACAUGCAAGUCGAACGAAGCACUUUAUUUGAUUUCCUUCGGGACUGAUUAUUUUGUGACUGAGUGGCGGACGGGUGAGUAACGCGUGGGUAACCUGCCUUGUACAGGGGGAUAACAGUUGGAAACGGCUGCUCAUCCCGCCUAAGCGCCCGGCCUCGCGUGCUGCCGUGUGCCCCCCUCCGGUGGUCUCAGCUGGACCCGCGUUGGAUUCGCUAGUUGGUGAGGUAACGGCCCACCAAGGCGACGAUCCAUAGCCGACCUGAGAGGGUGACCGGCCACAUUGGGACUGAGACACGGCCCAAACGCCGACGGGAGGCAGCAGGGGGGAAGAGGGCACAAGGGGCGAAAGCCGGAUGCAGCGACGCCGCGUGAGCGAAGAAGUAUUUCGGUAUGGAAAGCGCUAGCAGCAGGGAAGAGAAUGACGGGACCGGACGAAGAAGCACCGGCUAAAUACGUG
This 481-nucleotide ribosomal RNA is filed under the name uncultured bacterium. RNAcentral's name for it is "partial 16S ribosomal RNA". It matches the Rfam family "Bacterial small subunit ribosomal RNA", at positions 38 to 507 of the family's 1533-position model. The record is from RNAcentral.